AAUAGAUACCCUGGUAGUCCAUGCCGUAAACGUUGGGAACUAGAUGUAGGGCCUGUUCCACGGGUUCUGUGUCGUAGCUAACGCAUUAAGUUCCCCGCCUGGGGAGUACGGCCGCAAGGCUAAAACUCAAAGGAAUUGACGGGGGCCCGCACAAGCGGCGGAGCAUGCGGAUUAAUUCGAUGCAACGCGAAGAACCUUACCAAGGCUUGACAUAUAGAAGAACACUGCAGAGAUGCAGGACUCUUUGGACACUUCUAUACAGGUGGUGCAUGGUUGUCGUCAGCUCGUGUCGUGAGAUGUUCGGUUAAGUCCGGCAACGAGCGCAACCCUCGUCCUAUGUUGCCAGCGGGUUAUGCCGGGAACUCAUGGGAUACUGCCGUGGUCAACGACGGAGGAAGGUGGGGAUGACGUCAAAUCAUCAUGCCCCUUAUGUCUUGGGCUUCACGCAUGCUACAAUGGCCGGUACAAAGAGCGGCGAUACCGUAAGGUGGAGCGAAUCUCAAAAAGCCGGUCUCAGUUCGGAUUGGGGU
RNAcentral lists this ribosomal RNA (530 nucleotides) under uncultured bacterium. Its description in RNAcentral is "bacterial SSU rRNA". It matches the Rfam family "Bacterial small subunit ribosomal RNA", at positions 777 to 1304 of the family's 1533-position model. The record is from RNAcentral.